RNAcentral lists this long non-coding RNA (2619 nucleotides) under Phascolarctos cinereus (koala). Its description in RNAcentral is "lncRNA (ENSPCIG00000032806.1)". Lineage: Eukaryota; Metazoa; Chordata; Mammalia; Diprotodontia; Phascolarctidae. The record is from RNAcentral.
CACCUCUCCCUCUCUUCUCUCCUCUCUCCUCUCUCCUCUCUCCUCUCUCCUCUUCCUCUCUCUCUCUCCUCUCUCCUCUCUCUCUCUCCUCUCUCUCUCUCUCUCUCUCUCUCCCUCUCUCUCUUCUCUCUCUCUCUCUCUCUCUCUCUCUCUCUCUCUCUCUCUCUCUCUCUCUCUCUCAUCUCCCUCUCUCUCUCUCAUUCUCUCUCUCUCUCUCUCUCAUCUCCCCUCUCUCUCUCUCUCAUUUCCCUCUCUCUCUCCCUCUCUCUCUCAUCUCCCUCUCUCUCUCUCUCUCAUUUCCCCUCUCUCUCCCUCUCUCUCUCAUCUCCCUCUCUCCUCCCUCCCUCUCCCUCUCUCUCUCCUCCCUCUCCCUCUCCUUCUCUCCUCUCCCCCCUCUCCCUCUCUCUCCUCCCUCUCCCUCUCUCUCUCUCUCCCUCUCUCUCUUAUCUCCUCUGCUCUCUCUCAUCUCCCUCUGUCUCUCCCUCUCUCUUCCUCCUCCCUCUCUCUCUCUCUCUCUCUCUCCUCUCUCUCUCUCUCUCCUCUCUCUUCCUCUCUCUCUCUCUCUCUCUCUCCUCUCUCUCUCUCUCUCUCUCUCCUCUCUCUCUCUCUCUCUCUCUCUCUCUCUCUCUCUCUCUCUCUCUCUCUCUCUCUCUCAUCUCCCUCUCUCUCUCUCUCUCAUUUCCCUCUCUCUCUCCCUCUCUCUCUCAUCUCCCUCUCUCCUCCCUCCCUCUCCCUCUCUCUCUCCUCCCUCUCCCUCUCCUUCUCUCUCUCUCCCCCUCUCUCCUCUCUCUCCUCCCUCUCCCUCUCUCUCUCUCUCCCUCUCUCUCUCAUCUCCCUCUGUCUCUCUCUCAUCUCCCUCUGUCUCUCCCUCUCUCUCUCUCCCUCCCUCUCUCUAUCUCUCUCUCUCUCUCUUCCUCUCCUCUCUCUCUCUCUCUCUCUCUCUCUCUCUCUCUCUCUCUCUCUCUCUCUCUCUCUCUCUCUCUCUCUCUCUCUCUCUCUCUCUCUCUCUCUCUAUCUCCCUCUCUCUCUCAUCUCCCUCUCUCUCUCUCUCAUUUCCCUCUCUCUCCCUCUCUCUCUCAUCUCCCUCUCUCCUCCCUCCCUCUCCCUCUCUCUCUCCUCCCUCUCCCUCUCCUUCUCUCUCUCUCCCCCCUCUCCCUCUCUCUCCUCCCUCUCCCUCUCUCUCUCUCUCCCCUCUCUCUCUCUCCCUCUCUCUCUCAUCUCCCUCUGUCUCUCUCUCAUCUCCCUCUCUCUCUCCCUCUCUCUCUCUCCCUCCCUCUCUCUCUCCUCCCUCCCUCUCUCUCUCUCUCUCCUCUCUCUCUCUCUCUCUCUCUCUCUCUCUCUCUCUCUCUCUCUCUCUCUCUCUCCUCUCCCUCUCUCUCUCUCUCUCUCAUUUCCCUCUCUCUCUCCCUCUCUCUCUCAUCUCCCUCUCUCCUCCCUCCCUCUCCCUCUCUUCUCCCUCUCCCUCUCCUCUCUCUCUCCCCCUCUCCCUCUCUCUCCUCCUCUCCCUCUCUCUCUCUCUCCCUUCUCUCUCUCAUCUCCCUCUGUCUCUCUCUCAUCUCCCUCUCUCUCUCCCUCUCUCUCUCCUCCCUCCCUCUCUCUCUCCUCCCUCCCCUCUCUCUCUCUCUCCUCUCUCUCUCUCUCUCCUCUCUUCUCUCUCUCUCUCUCUCUCUCUCUCUCUCUGUCUCUCUCUCAUCUCCCUCUCUCUCUCUCUCUCUCAUUUCCCUCUCUCUCUCCCUCUCUCUCUCAUCUCCCUCUCUCCUCCCUCCCUCUCCCUCUCUCUCUCCUCCCUCUCCCUCUCCUUCUCUCUCUCCCCCCUCUCCCUCUCUCUCCUCCCUCUCCCUCUCUCUCUCUCUCCCUCUCUCUCUCAUCUCCCUCUGUCUCUCUCUCAUCUCCCUCUCUCUCUCCCUCUCUCUCUCCUCCCUCCCUCUCUCUCUCCUCCUCCCUCUCUCUCUCUCUCUCUCUCUCUCUCUCUCUCUCUCUCUCUCCUCUCUCUCUCUCUCUCUCUCUCUCAUCUCCCUCUCAUCUCCCUCUGUCUCUCUCAUCUCCCUCUCAUCUCCCUCUGUCUCUCUCAUCUCCCUCUCUCUCCCUCUCUCUCUCAUCUCCCUCUCUCUCCUCUCUCUCUCAUCUCCCUCUCUCUCUCCCUCUCUCUCUCAUCUCCCUCUCUCCCUCCCUCUCUCUCUCAUCUCCCUCUCUCCCUCUCUCUGUCCUCCCUCUCUCUCCUCCCUCUCCCUCUCUCUCUCAUCUCCCUCUGUCUCUCUCUCAUCUCCCUCUCUCUCUCCCUCUCUCUCUCCUCCCUCUCCCUCUCUCCUCCUCCCUCUCUCUCCUCCCUCUCUCUUUCUCCCCUGCUCCCUCUCUCCCACAGACAUCCACAGCUCUACCUCAGCCUCCCCUAGUCCACACACGGUAACUAGGUGGCAAGAGGUCAGAGGCAGUUUUGCCUCCUUGCAAAGAGCUGGCCGCAUCUUCAGCCACCUGCUCUCUCCCUCUGCCCCCACCUCCCACAAAGUGUGUGCAACCCCAUGGGUCCGGCUCUGCCCGGUUAAGGAGGCGAGCAGUGAGCCACAGAAGGUCUUUGAGAAAAUCAAUGGGAUCCCGAGUUGCUCCUGCAGGUGUCGGUGA